This 274-nucleotide ribosomal RNA is filed under the name uncultured bacterium. RNAcentral's name for it is "partial 16S ribosomal RNA". It matches the Rfam family "Bacterial small subunit ribosomal RNA", at positions 523 to 796 of the family's 1533-position model. The record is from RNAcentral.
AUACGAAGGGGGCAAGCGUUGUUCGGAAUAACUGGGCGUAAAGCGCACGUAGGCGGAUUGAUCAGUUAGAGGUGAAAUCCCAGGGCUCAACCCUGGAACUGCCUUUAAUACUGUCAGUCUAGAGAUCGAGAGAGGUGAGUGGAAUUCCGAGUGUAGAGGUGAAAUUCGUAGAUAUUCGGAGGAACACCAGUGGCGAAGGCGGCUCACUGGCUCGAUACUGACGCUGAGGUGCGAAAGCGUGGGGAGCAAACAGGAUUAGAAACCCGGGUAGUCC